Non-coding RNA from Picea glauca (white spruce), 84 nucleotides. The record is from Rfam. NCBI's taxonomy places the organism in Eukaryota, Viridiplantae, Streptophyta, Pinopsida, Pinales, Pinaceae.
GGACUAUUAGCUCAGUUGGUUAGAGCGUCGUGCUAAUAACGCGAAGGUCGCAGAAGGUUGGAAGUUCAAGACCUGCAUAGGCCA